Molecule: non-coding RNA, 544 nt
Organism: Choloepus didactylus (southern two-toed sloth)
Lineage: Eukaryota; Metazoa; Chordata; Mammalia; Pilosa; Megalonychidae
Source: the annotation of a RefSeq genome assembly
GCUUAUCUUCACACCAGCACACUGUUUCUAGUGUUAGUCUUAGCCCAGAGGAGUUUCCUGAAGCAAAACUCCAUUUAGGAAAUAAGUCUUUGCUAAAGGGCUUGUGAUAGGGAUGGUCUUUGAAGGUUUAUUAAUAAUCCUAUGGAUGCAGCUUGCAUGUGUGAAUGGCCAAGAGCUGAAUCAGAGUCCUAAGUCUGUGUCCAUCCAGGAAGGAGAGGAUUUCACCAUGAACUGCAAUUCCUCAAGCACAUUUAACAUAUUCCUGUGGUACAAGCAGGACCCUGGAGAAGCUCCCGCCCUCCUGAUAACCUUAUAUAAGGCUGCUGAAUCGACUAGAAUUGGGAAAAUGACUGCUCAGUUUGGAGCAACAAGAAAGGAAAGCUUCUUGAACAUCUCAGCCUCUGAGCCUGAUGAUGCAGGCACCUACUUCUGUGCUGGGCAGCACAGUGCUCCCCAGGCACCUGCAGCCUGUACUCAAACUGGCAUCUGGGACUCCAGCCUCUGUGUUGCCUCCAGCUCCUGCUUCUCUUGGCAUGAAACAUGA